Molecule: non-coding RNA, 157 nt
Organism: Fukomys damarensis (Damara mole-rat)
Lineage: Eukaryota; Metazoa; Chordata; Mammalia; Rodentia; Bathyergidae
Source: Rfam
UAAGCCCUGCUCAGAAGUCAAGAGCAGCAGCGCCGCCGCUCCGCGCGGCCUUUCAAGCCGCAGCCGCUCCUUAUUCUUGUGCUUCGGCCUCUCCGGGUGCCCCCGGAGACCGGCCGCUCCCUUCCCGCUAAAUCCCCUUCCGGGUCCGUGCGCUACC